CUACGGGUCGCUGCAGUUGAGAAUCAUUGUCAAUGCACGAAAGUGUGAACAUGCGACGCCGCGUGGAGGAAGACGGCCUUCGGGUUGUAAACUCCUGUCAGCAGGGAGUAAGGACAGCAUGGUUAAUAACCGUGUUGUUUGAUAGUACCUGCAGAGGAAGUCACGGCUAACUCUGUGCCAGCAGCCGCGGUAAUACAGAGGUGGCGAACGUUGUUCGGAUUUACUGGGCGUAAAGGGUCCGCAGGCGGUCUUGUGUGUCAGAUGUGAAAGCCCACGGCUCAACCGUGGAAUUGCAUUUGAAACUGCAGGACUAGAGUACUGGAGGGGAGAAGGGAACACUUGGUGUAGCGGUGAAAUGCGUAGAUAUCAAGUGGAACACCGGUGGCGAAGGCGCUUCUCUGGACAGAUACUGACGCUCAUGGACGAAAGCUAGGGUAGUGAAAGGGAUUAGAUACCCUCGUAGUC
RNAcentral lists this ribosomal RNA (465 nucleotides) under uncultured bacterium. RNAcentral describes it as "partial 16S ribosomal RNA". It matches the Rfam family "Bacterial small subunit ribosomal RNA", at positions 339 to 795 of the family's 1533-position model. The record is from RNAcentral.